Molecule: long non-coding RNA, 352 nt
Filed under: Cervus hanglu yarkandensis (Yarkand deer)
Lineage: Eukaryota; Metazoa; Chordata; Mammalia; Artiodactyla; Cervidae
Description: lncRNA (ENSCHYG00000014282.1)
Source: RNAcentral
AUGCCUCUGUGGACUUCACCAAGAAAGACUGGGGUUGCUGGACUCUGUUCAGAGGAAGCUGCACGGAGCUGUGAUGCUGGAGAAUUACCGCCCCUUUGUCUCAGCGGAGACUUGAAUGAAACUUUUGUGGAAAAUGAAGAUAAAGUACUUACGUUAUCUGUUACCUCAGGAGCUUUCCUGCUGGCAAAUUUUGGACCAGGUGGCUUAGUACAGUAAGGAGGAGUCAGAAUUAAAUUGUGAAUAUUCAGAGGGAGGUGUAAGUAACCCUGAACUGGAUCUUUCUACUUGUCAGAAGUGGAGAAAAGUAUCUUCUCAUAUUUCCAGGAACCACAAGCAGUGUGGUGACUCUUCA